AUUUCUUGUCUCCAUUGUAAUUGCUACACUGAUCCACAAAAUGCUGAGAUUCAGAGCCUCCUGGGUGAUUGGGCCUGGCCUCUCUUGCCAGAGCACACCAGGAACAUGGGGGCUGAGCUCCACACACCUCGCACACUCCCAGACUCUCUGCCACUGUGAAGAAAAGAAAAGAAGUGAUUCCAUUGAGACAGCAACACAAGAAAGGGAGUUGAAUGAUCUAUAUCUCUAGUUCAGUCAAGCCUUGUUGCUACAUGACAGAUCCUAGCUACUGAG
This is a long non-coding RNA of Sphaerodactylus townsendi, 273 nucleotides long. RefSeq lists it as uncharacterized. The transcript is spliced from 3 exons. The record is from RefSeq and is a predicted model, not a curated record. Lineage: Eukaryota; Metazoa; Chordata; Lepidosauria; Squamata; Sphaerodactylidae.